Molecule: unclassified non-coding RNA, 329 nt
Filed under: soil metagenome
Description: partial contains 5.8S ribosomal RNA, internal transcribed spacer 2, and large subunit ribosomal RNA
Rfam family: 5.8S ribosomal RNA (bases 1-120)
Source: RNAcentral
GAUGAAGAACGUAGUGAAAUGCGAUAAGUAAUGUGAAUUGCAGAAUUCAGUGAAUCAUCGAAUCUUUGAACGCACAUUGCGCCCCUUGGUAUUCCGAGGGGCAUGCCUGUUCGAGCGUCAUUAUAACCCCUCAAGCUCAGCUUGGUGUUGGGGCCUGCUGCACUGGCAGCCCUUAAAAUCAGUGGCGGCGCCAUCUGGCUCUAAGCGUAGUAAUUCUUCUCGCUAUGGAGUCCUGGUGGAUGCUUGCCAACAACCCCCAAUUUUUCUAUGGUUGACCUCGGAUCAGGUAGGGAUACCCGCUGAACUUAAGCAUAUCAAUAAGCGGAGGA